UACGUAGGUGGCGAGCGUUGUCCGGAUUUAUUGGGCGUAAAGGGAGCGUAGGCGGACUUUUAAGUGAGAUGUGAAAUACUCGGGCUCAACUUGAGUGCUGCAUUUCAAACUGGAAGUCUAGAGUGCAGGAGGGGAGAAUGGAAUUCCUAGUGUAGCGGUGAAAUGCGUAGAGAUUAGGAAGAACACCAGUGGCGAAGGCGAUUCUCUGGACUGUAACUGACGCUGAGGCUCGAAAGCGUGGGGAGCAAACAGG
RNAcentral lists this ribosomal RNA (253 nucleotides) under uncultured bacterium. Its description in RNAcentral is "partial 16S ribosomal RNA". It matches the Rfam family "Bacterial small subunit ribosomal RNA", at positions 524 to 776 of the family's 1533-position model. The record is from RNAcentral.